This is a small nucleolar RNA of Eutrema salsugineum, 207 nucleotides long. It matches the Rfam family "Small nucleolar RNA snoR125". Lineage: Eukaryota; Viridiplantae; Streptophyta; Magnoliopsida; Brassicales; Brassicaceae. The record is from Rfam.
GGGCGAUGAUUAUAAAGAGAGAGGCUUGAGUGGGGAGUGUGAACAAAACUCUUGUGGGAUGUAGAAAAACCCAAAUCGAAAUCGAAGGAGAAGUAGAGAUGAUAAAAUGUCUCUUUAUUUUUCCCUUUUUCGAAUCUUUGGGCUAUUUUUCUUCAUCCCUUUCCCUCGAUGACGGUCCUUCCAUUUCGUACACUUGAUAUGAGCCCU